RNAcentral lists this long non-coding RNA (344 nucleotides) under Marmota monax (woodchuck). Lineage: Eukaryota; Metazoa; Chordata; Mammalia; Rodentia; Sciuridae. The record is from RNAcentral.
GUCUCAGGUGAAGAGUGGGUGGCACUGUAUGGCCUUGGGAGAGGUAUGUAGUUCAGUGUUACUGAGGGGGAUUAUAAUGGGUUACAGAAGUAAAAAUUGAAUUGCAAUUAGAUAUUAGAGAGCAUUGAUUGUAGUUCUAGGGGGGAACACUCAGAGUAGGAGGGAGGCUUCCAUUUUGAGGGAAGAAGUGAGGAUGUGUGAGUUAGAUAGUACUGAGUGGGAAUUAGGGAAAGGAUAUGGAAUGCCCUGGCAGCCUGUAGGGUGGCUAAAGGUUGGAGUUAGGUAGGAAACUGUUGUUUAGGGAUGGAUUACGAUAGAGAUUUAAAACAAAAUAGGGCUGGGGA